Molecule: long non-coding RNA, 1459 nt
Organism: Ictalurus punctatus (channel catfish)
Lineage: Eukaryota; Metazoa; Chordata; Actinopteri; Siluriformes; Ictaluridae
Source: Ensembl
GGAGAAUCCACACUGUACACUGGAGAUACUGAAGCUGUGUAGGUGUAAUCUGACAGAGGAAAGCUGUAGAGUUCUGUCCUCAGUUCUCAGCUCAAAAUCCUCCAGACUGAGAGAACUGGACCUGGGUUACAAUAACGUGCAGGAUUCAGGAGUGAAGCUGCUCUCUGCUGGACUGGAGAAUCCACACUGUACACUGGAGAUACUGAGGCACACACACACACACACACACACACACACACACACACACACACACAAACUCACACACACAGAGCAGAAUUUUAAUAAACACAACUACAUAUAGUUUCCAUCUGUGGUGAGUGUAAUUGUAGUGAUGUGAUAUAUUGUCAUUGUUGUGUGUGUGAGAUGGAGAGUAAAUGUUCUUUAUAUAAAGAUUUUGUGUAGUUGAUGUUUUCAGAGCUAAAACUGAGUGUGUUAAGUGUGAGAAGGAUUUUUGUGUUGCAGGAUGAUUAAAUGCAGUAUUACAGAUGAAGGUUUCGCUGCUCUGGCUUCAGCUCUGAGGUCAAACUCCUCAUCACACCUGAGAGAACUGAAUCUGAACGGUAAUAAUCCAGGAGAAUCAGGAGUGAAGCUGCUCUCUGAUCUACUGAAGGAUCCACACUGUAAACUGGAGACAUUAUACAUUAAGGAUAAUAAACUCACCAGGACCGGCGUUUGACAGGAGUCUCACCUCAAACCUCUUCUCCAGGAUAAGGCAGUUUUGGUGAAGAGUUAGAACCCGUCCCACAUUUCCAGCAGUUUGGGAGCUGAAUCAUUAAACUUAAAGGGACAGAGCAGAUAUAAAGUCAAGAACAGGCAGAAGGUCAUACACAGGAGAAAUCAACACACGUAACGAAAUAUCUGCUGUACAAAGCAACGGCAACGAUCUACCCUGGGGAUGGAGACUGACGAUGCUCAAGUACAUGUCUGGUCACAGACUGAUCCCAAAGCACGAGGCAGGAGCAGGCAUGUUAAUGGUAAAUGGUCUGCAGUUAUAUAGCACUUUUUUAACCUUAGUGGUUCCAAAGCACUUUACACUGUUUCACAUUCAUGAGGCUUGUGCCAAAGAGUAGAUGUGAAAAUACAGUGGAAAAUUUCCCUUGCAACCUGCCAACCUUUGCUGUGUCAUGAACACAGUGUCUUCGUCAACCCAGGAGAUGAUUUAGAAAAGUGCCUAUGCAACAGUGUGUUCAGCAUGCAUGGAGGCACUGUAUUUAUACACAGUGUUGCAUGAAAUAACAACAGAAAUAACACAAAUCAAUACCCUCAUGCACAUCUCUCUAAUGGCCUGAUUAGGUCCAUAUCAAUUAUUUCAACUGCAAACUUGAAUAAAGGUAAUGGGCACAAUGGUGCUAUUGGGGUGGCCAUUGGAUUUUGCAGCUGAAAUUAGUAUCCUGGUAACAAUUGCUUCCACAGCUCCUUUUUGAUGUACCAGUCAACUUAACACUACCCAUAUGAGUUG